UAGAGUUUGAUCCUGGCUCAGGAUGAACGCUGGCGGCGUGCCUAACACAUGCAAGUCGAGCGAGAAAUCCAUGAUCGAAACUUCGGUUGAUUGAUUGGACGGAAAGCGGCGGACGGGUGAGUAACGCGUAGGCAACCUGCCUCUGGCUGAGGGACAGCCUCGGGAAACCGGGAUUAAUACCUCAUAACACGAAGGGAAGACAUCUUUUUUUCGUCAAAGAUUUAUCGGCGAUGGAUGAGGAUGCGUCUGAUUAGGUAGAUGGCGGGGUAACGGCCCACCAUGCCUUCGAUCAGUAGGGGUUCUGAGAGGAAGGUCCCCCACAUUGGAACUGAGACACGGUCCAAACUCCUACGGGAGGCAGCAGUGAGGAAUAUUGGUCAAUGGACGAGAGUCUGAACCAGCCAAGUAGCGUGAAGGAAGACUGCCCUAUGGGUUGUAAACUUCUUUUGUUUGGGAAUAAAGUGAGGGACGUGUCCCUUUUUGUAUGUACCAUUCGAAUAAGCAUCGGCUAAUUCCGUGCCAGCAGCCGCGGUAAUACGGAAGAUGCGAGCGUUAUCCGGAUUUAUUGGGUUUAAAGGGAGCGUAGGCGGCCUGUUAAGUCAGCGGUUAAAUGUCAGUGCCCAACAUUGGCAUGCCGUUGAUACUGGUGGGCUUGAAUACACACAAGGAUGGUGGAAUUCGUUGUGUAGCGGUGAAAUGCUUAGAUAUGACGAAGAACUCCGAUUGCGAAGGCAGCCAUCUGGGGUGCGAUUGACGCUGAGGCUCGAAAGUGCGGGAAUCAAACAGGAUUAGAUACCCUGGUAGUCCGCACCGUAAACGAUGAAUGCUCGUUCUGGGCGAUAUACUGUCCGGGACUUAGGGAAACCAUUAAGCAUUCCACCUGGGGAGUACGCCGGCAACGGUGAAACUCAAAGGAAUUGACGGGGGCCCGCACAAGCGGAGGAACAUGUGGUUUAAUUCGAUGAUACGCGAGGAACCUUACCCGGGCUUGAACUGCGACUGACCGGCAUAGAGAUAUGCUUUCCCUUCGGGGCAGUUGUGGAGGUGCUGCAUGGUUGUCGUCAGCUCGUGCCGUGAGGUGUCGGCUUAAGUGCCAUAACGAGCGCAACCCUUGCUGUCAGUUGCCAUCACGUAAUGGUGGGCACUCUGGCGGGACUGCCAUCGCAAGAUGUGAGGAAGGUGGGGAUGACGUCAAAUCAGCACGGCCCUUACGUCCGGGGCUACACACGUGUUACAAUGGGGGGCACAGCGCGCCGCUACCUGGUGACAGGCUGCCAAUCGUGAAAUCCCCUCUCAGUUCGGACUGGAGUCUGCAACCCGACUCCACGAAGCUGGAUUCGCUAGUAAUCGCGCAUCAGCCAUGGCGCGGUGAAUACGUUCCCGGGCCUUGUACACACCGCCCGUCAAG
Molecule: ribosomal RNA, 1408 nt
Filed under: uncultured bacterium
Lineage: Bacteria
Description: bacterial SSU rRNA
Rfam family: Bacterial small subunit ribosomal RNA
Source: RNAcentral